This 460-nucleotide ribosomal RNA is filed under the name uncultured bacterium. Its description in RNAcentral is "partial 16S ribosomal RNA". It matches the Rfam family "Bacterial small subunit ribosomal RNA", at positions 338 to 795 of the family's 1533-position model. The record is from RNAcentral.
CCUACGGGAGGCAGCAGUGAGGAAUAUUGGUCAAUGGCCGGAAGGCUGAACCAGCCAUGCCGCGUGAAGGUCAGUGCCCUAUGGGCGUUAAACUUCUUUUGUGCGGGAGCAAUAAUGGUCACGUGUGGCCAGACGAGAGUACCGUACGAAUAAGCAUCGGCUAACUGCGUGCCAGCAGCCGCGGUAAUACGGGGGAUGCAAGCGUUAUCCGGAUUUAUUGGGGUUAAAGGGUGCGUAGGCUGUGAGGUAAGUCAGCGGUGAAAUGCCCCCGCUCAACGGGGUGAAGUGCCAUUGAUACUGCCUUGCUGGAAUGCGGAUGCCGUGGGAGGAAUGUGUGGUGUAGCGGUGAAAUGCAUAGAUAUCACACAGAACACCGAUUGCGAAGGCAUCUCACGAAUCCGCGAUUGACGCUGAUGCACGAAAGCGUGGGUAUCAAACAGGAUUAGAUACCCCUGUAGUC